Molecule: ribosomal RNA, 719 nt
Filed under: uncultured eukaryote
Lineage: Eukaryota
Description: SSU rRNA
Rfam family: Eukaryotic small subunit ribosomal RNA
Source: RNAcentral
UAGUCUGGUGCCAGCAGCCGCGGUAAUUCCAGCUCCAAUAGCGUAUAUUAAAGUUGUUGCAGUUAAAACGCUCGUAGUCGGAUUUCGGGGCAGGUUUGCCGGUCUGCCGAUGGGUAUGCACUGGUAGAACUGUCCUUCCUUCCGGGGACGGCGCCUACUCUUAACUGAGCGGGUGUCGGAGACGGAUCGUUUACUUUGAAAAAAUCAGAGUGUUUCAAGCAGGCAGCUCGCUUUUGCAUGGAUUAGCAUGGGAUAAUGAAAUAGGACUUUGGUGCUAUUUUGUUGGUUUCGAACACCGAAGUAAUGAUUAACAGGGACAGUCAGGGGCACUCGUAUUCCGCCGAGAGAGGUGAAAUUCUUAGACCAGCGGAAGACGAACCACUGCGAAAGCAUUUGCCAGGGAUGUUUUCACUGAUCAAGAACGAAAGUUAGGGGAUCGAAGACGAUCAGAUACCGUCGUAGUCUUAACCAUAAACCAUGCCGACUAGGGAUUGGAGGAUGUUCCUAUGUGACUCCUUCAGCACCUUUCGGGAAACUAAAGUCUUUGGGUUCCGGGGGGAGUAUGGUCGCAAGGCUGAAACUUAAAGGAAUUGACGGAAGGGCACCACAAGGAGUGGAGCCUGCGGCUUAAUUUGACUCAACACGGGGAAACUUACCAGGUCCAGACAUUGUGAGGAUUGACAGAUUGAGAGCUCUUUCUUGAUUCGAUGGGUGGUGGU